UAUAUAUUCCUGCUUGGUGCAAAUACCAAGCAGUCGUUGACUGGUCAAUCUUUAGUUCACAUGUAACCACUCAUUCUGUGUGGUUUCUUCCCAGUAAUGUCCUUAAAAAUUGGUUAUUAUUUAUUGCAGACGGUCAUCUGUGACCUUCACCAUCUUUAAGACCCUCAUAUCCUUUAGAAUAUUCAUGGAACUAUAGGUGAAAAACAUAUUCCUUGGCUGCAUUGCUACCAAAUUUUGUGUAGCUAUUGCAAGCAGCAAUUUCUCUUGCUUUGCGUUACAUUUUGACAUCGUCCAAUUAAAUCAAUUUCAAUUUGUUUUUAAGUCUUCUUUUUCUUUCUAUUCAUGUUUAAUUUAGAAUUAUAUAAAUAUAGAUAAAUAGUGAAAACAAAACCAUUCAGAUUAAUUAGUAGAAUGAUAUCAUUGCUGCCCAAUGGUGUAUUCCAAACUAUCAGAUCUUAACCAAUAAGAAUUACUAUUAUUUUUGCACUAAUCUUUUUAUGCAUGUAUGUGUUUGUAUUCCAUUGUCUACAUGUUUAUAUAUAUAUAUAUAUAUAUAUAUAUAUCCAUGCUUAUGUACACAUAUACAUAUCUGUUUUAUAUAUAUAUGUGUGCGAGUGUGUACACUCUUGCAUAUGUACACACAUAUAUACAUGUCUAUGUUAUAUAUAUUCAUAGAUCUGUGCAUCUGUAUAUAAAGGCCUUAUUCUAUAUAUAAUUAUUGUAUUAAUCCAUUUGCAUUUAACUGAAUAAAAUGUUACAGUUAGUUAAUUCAACUUUUGUCUAAGUUAUCCUACAAUGAAAAGUUGUUAAAGCUUGUGUUAAGCCAGGGGGAUCAUAGAUCAAAUCUCAUCAAGAACUGCAUCACUUUUUUUUUUUUUUUUAUAAAAUGCAUUGUUUUCGCAAAUGUGUUCUGGAUAAUAAAUAUAUAUUUAUACACAGACACAUAUAUACAAUUAUAUAUAUAUUACGGAGAUGUACUUGCAUAGCAAGUGACCUGAUCUGAGAUUGUAUGCUGAAACAAAAGCAAUUGCAGCAUGGAAGGUGUUUAUAAGCCAUUUAAAAUCACCUUCCAUGCUGCACUUGUUUGUUUAUAUAUAUAUAUAUAUAUAUAUAUAUAUAUAUAUAUAUUUAUUUAUACACAGACAUAUAUACAAUUAUAUAUAUAUAUAUAUAAAAGCAUGCAUGCAAUUAUAUAUAUAUAUAUAUAUACAUAUAUAUAUAUAUAAAAGCAUGCAUGCAAUUAUAUAUAUAUAUAAGCAUGCAUACAAUUAUAUAUAUAUAUAUAUAAGCAUGCAUACAAUUAUAUAUAUAUAUAUAUGUAUGUAUGAAUGUAUGUAUGUAUGUAGAAAUAUACAUAUAUACUUACACAUAUAUGUAGUUAUAUGUAUACAUGCACCUAUGUACACAUUUUCAUAUACUUGUCCGUUUAUCUGGCAUGCUGUCUUUUUCUUCUUCAAUUAAAGGAAAAAAAACUUUAAAAUUAUUUACAUCUAUUUUCGCUUUCUUAAAUAAAGAUUAAAAAAUACUUUAAAAAAAUAUCAAAAAAAUGUUUCCAUGAAUACACACACACACAUUUGAUUAUUGCUGGCUGUUAAUGAAAUGCCUUGAUGUCUGUAUAUAAUCAUGCAUACAUAUGCACAUAAAAAGGAUUGUGUGUGUGUGUAUAUAUAUAUACACACACACACACAUACACACAAAAACCUACACUCAAGUAUAUAUAAGACAAAAUUUGCAUUAAAUGGGACUUUGUUUUGCUAGGCAGCUUACUUAAUCUGCCAUCAGGUACAAAUUAGUCUCAAUUAGCAGGAGCUUUUUAAUUUGAUUAUAUUGUGACUUAAACUUGCUUUAAAACAACAAUCAUAUAUAUAUAUCCAUAUGUGUGUACAUUUGUAUAAACGUAUUUUUUUCUAUGUGUUCAUGAACUUAUAUGUAUACAUAUGUCUGCAUAUAGGUAUAUAUACGUAUGUGUAUACAUAGGUAUACUUAUGUAUAUGAACCUAUAAAUUGUUUGUGUGUGUGAGUAUGUGUGUAAGAAGUCAUGGGCCAAUAGGUUUUUGGGAUAUGACUAUGCCAUAAAGCUAAAUCCUUUAUGGACAGGAAACUUAAAGAAAUCUCAUAAACGGGCCUUCCACAUUAUAUAUAUUUAGCCGAAAUGAGAGAGUGACUCAAGGGCUGAGAGUUAACAAACUAGCUUGGUAAAUGCUACAAGUUACUCUGCUUCUGCUAAAUAUUAACUAUAUAUGUAUACUCAUAUUUUGAGUUCUGUUUUACCUGUUAGCAUCACCAUACAUACAUACAUACAUAUAUAUAUUUAUACACAGACACAUAUAUGCAAUUAUAUAUAUAUAUAUAUAUAUAUAUAUAUAUAUAUUAUAUAUAUAUAUACGUUUAUAUAUUUGUUGUGCAAGAUUUUUUAUGUGGAAUCAUGUGUUGAAACAGAUAUUGUUGUAUUUCGGAAUGGUCAUUUUGCCAGUUUAGCCAAUGUGGCAAAAUGACCAUUCCAAAAUGCAACUAUAUAUAUAUAUAUAUAUAUAUAUAUACACAUACACACAUGCAUACAGAUACAAAGAGCAGUUGAAAAAUAUUUCUUCCAUAACUGAAAAUUUUUUCAGCUGUUUGUAAACUUUAUAGACUGUGUUGAUGGUUACCCAUACACACUCACUCAGGCACACAUAUUUAUACACAAAUAUACAUGUGUGGCAUGGUCGGAUUUCUCUCUGCAUGUAUUUAUCUAUGUAUACAUAUAUUUUCUCUGUGUGUGUGUAUAUAUAUGAACAUUUGUGUGUGUGUGCUUAUAUACGUAGAUAUUUAAACAAGCAUACACAUAUAUCUGUAUGUGUGUGUAUAUAUAAUAUAUAUAUAUUCAUAUUUUUAUUUGAAUAUUUGUGUAUGCCCAUUUACAUUGCUAUAUAUUUAAAAAAAGCAUAUUUACAUAUACUUGUGUGUGUGUGUGUGUGUGUGUGUGUGUGUGUGUGCAUGUGUAUACAUGAACACAAAUGAACAUGGUAUUUUGUAUUUAACACCAGCAUGUUUCAAAGUAAUUUUACCUGUAGUUAUAGAUAUUUGGAAAAAGAAAAAAGAAAGAAAAUAAACAACAAGAAUAAUAUAUAUAAAAAAACAAAUUUAUGCCCUCCUCUUAAAGAAUUUCUUUUCAAUGUGAUGCUUGCUUGUUCAUGUGUUUUCCUUCAUAAUUCCACAUGUAGUGUGUGUGUAUGUAUGUAUGUAUAUAUAUAUGUAUGUAUAUAUAUAUAUAUAUAUAUAUAAAAUCAAUGAAAAUAAAUACUCAUUGUUUUAAUCUA
RNAcentral lists this long non-coding RNA (3299 nucleotides) under Octopus vulgaris (common octopus). Lineage: Eukaryota; Metazoa; Mollusca; Cephalopoda; Octopoda; Octopodidae. The record is from RNAcentral.